RNAcentral lists this ribosomal RNA (194 nucleotides) under uncultured bacterium. Its description in RNAcentral is "partial 16S ribosomal RNA". It matches the Rfam family "Bacterial small subunit ribosomal RNA", at positions 338 to 524 of the family's 1533-position model. The record is from RNAcentral.
CCUACGGGAGGCAGCAGUGGGGAAUUUUGGACAAUGGGGGCAACCCUGAUCCAGCCAUUCCGCGUGAGUGAAGAAGGCCUUCGGGUUGUAAAGCUCUUUCGGCAGGAACGAAACGGUGGGCUCUAACAUAGUCCGCUAAUGACGGUACCUGAAGAAGAAGCACCGGCUAACUACGUGCCAGCAGCCGCGGUAAU